Suncus etruscus (white-toothed pygmy shrew) is the source of this 354-nucleotide long non-coding RNA. RefSeq lists it as uncharacterized. The transcript is spliced from 3 exons. The record is from RefSeq and is a predicted model, not a curated record. Lineage: Eukaryota; Metazoa; Chordata; Mammalia; Eulipotyphla; Soricidae.
GGACAGGAACAAAAGUAUUUCGUCUUAGCACCUAAAGUAUUCCAUAUCGGUGCCUCUGAAAAUGUAGUGGUUCAAGUUCAUGGAUAUACAGAGUCAUUUGAUGUGUCUGUUGCCAUUAAAAGUUAUCCUGACAAAAUUUUCACCUAUUCUCGAGGCCAAGUAUAUUUAUCUCCCGAAAAUAAAUUUCAAGGCUCUACAAACCUAACUGUGCAACCCAAAGAUUUGUCUGGAAGUCCAAAUGCAGUUUCACGUGUGUAUUUAGAAGUGACAUGUGCUCACUUUUCAAAAUCAACACCCAUUCCUCUGUGCUAUGAUAAUGGAUUCAUCUUCAUCCAGACAGAUAAAUCGACAUAC